RNAcentral lists this ribosomal RNA (253 nucleotides) under uncultured bacterium. Its description in RNAcentral is "partial 16S ribosomal RNA". It matches the Rfam family "Bacterial small subunit ribosomal RNA", at positions 524 to 776 of the family's 1533-position model. The record is from RNAcentral.
UCCGUAGGGGGCAAGCGUUGUCCGGAUUUAUUGGGCGUAAAGAGCGUGUAGGCGGCCUGGAAGGUCAGCUGUGAAAACUCGAGGCUCAACCUCGAGACGUCGGUUGAAACCACCUGGCUAGAGUCCGGAAGAGGAGAGUGGAAUUCCCGGUGUAGCGGUGAAAUGCGCAGAUAUCGGGAAGAACACCCGUGGCGAAGGCGGCGCUCUGGGACGGUACUGACGCUGAGACGCGAAAGCGUGGGGAGCGAACAGG